AACGCACCUUGCGCCCCUUGGUAUUCCGAGGGGCAUGCCUGUUUGAGUGUCAUGUUAAUCUCAACUCCCUUGUUUUCUUGACUCGGGUGUUGGACUUGGAAGCUGCUGGCCCCUCCGCGGUCGGCUCUUCUUAAAUGCAUUAGCUGGGCUUUGGCUCGCGUUGAACGGUGUAAUAGUAAUCUUACAUUCAUCUGGACGCUUGCCUAACAAGUCUGCUUCUAAUCGUCUUCGGACAAGGCCUUUGUUGCCUUCACUUGACACCUUGACCUCAAAUCAGGUAGGAUUACCCGCUGAACUUAA
RNAcentral lists this unclassified non-coding RNA (300 nucleotides) under uncultured Phellinus. RNAcentral describes it as "partial contains 5.8S ribosomal RNA, internal transcribed spacer 2, and large subunit ribosomal RNA". The stretch from base 1 to 52 matches the Rfam family "5.8S ribosomal RNA", at positions 103 to 154 of the family's 154-position model. Lineage: Eukaryota; Fungi; Basidiomycota; Agaricomycetes; Hymenochaetales; Hymenochaetaceae. The record is from RNAcentral.